Molecule: small nuclear RNA, 164 nt
Gene: U1
Rfam family: U1 spliceosomal RNA
About the family: U1 is a small nuclear RNA (snRNA) component of the spliceosome (involved in pre-mRNA splicing). Its 5' end forms complementary base pairs with the 5' splice junction, thus defining the 5' donor site of an intron.
Source: Ensembl
AUACUUACCUGGCAGGGGAGAUACUAUGAUCACGAAGGUGGUUUUCCCAGGGCGAGGCUUAUCCAUUGCACUCCGGAUGUGCUGACCCCUGCGAUUUCCCCAAAUGCGGGAAACUCGACUGCAUAAUUCGUGGUAGUGGGGGACUGCGUUCGCGCUCUCCCCUG